RNAcentral lists this ribosomal RNA (376 nucleotides) under uncultured Bacteroidales bacterium. RNAcentral's name for it is "bacterial SSU rRNA". It matches the Rfam family "Bacterial small subunit ribosomal RNA", at positions 40 to 414 of the family's 1533-position model. Lineage: Bacteria; Pseudomonadati; Bacteroidota; Bacteroidia; Bacteroidales. The record is from RNAcentral.
CUACAGGCUUAACACAUGCAAGUCGAGGGGUAGCAGGGUAGCAAUACCGCUGACGACCGGCGCACGGGUGAGUAACACGUAUCCAACCUUCCCAUUACUCGGGGAUAGCCUUUCGAAAGAAAGAUUAAUACCCGAUAGUACUUUUUCGAGGCAUCUCGUAAAAAGUUAAAGAUUUAUUGGUAAUGGAUGGGGAUGCGUUCCAUUAGAUUGUUGGUGAGGUAACGGCUCACCAAGUCUUCGAUGGAUAGGGGUUCUGAGAGGAAGGUCCCCCACAUUGGUACUGAGACACGGACCAAACUCCUACGGGAGGCAGCAGUGAGGAAUAUUGGUCAAUGGGCGAGAGCCUGAACCAGCCAAGUAGCGUGAAGGAUGACGG